RNAcentral lists this transfer RNA (72 nucleotides) under Camelus dromedarius (Arabian camel). It matches the Rfam family "tRNA". From Rfam's summary of the family: Transfer RNA (tRNA) molecules are approximately 80 nucleotides in length. Lineage: Eukaryota; Metazoa; Chordata; Mammalia; Artiodactyla; Camelidae. RNAcentral also lists the same sequence under 1 other name. The record is from Rfam by way of RNAcentral.
GAGGGUAUAGUUCAGUAGUAGAGCACAUGCUUGGCAUGCAUGAGGUCCUGGGUUCAAUCCCUACUACCUCCA